CAGCCCUCAAGGCUUCCUCCUCCUCCUCCUCUUCGUCGUGCUGCGCCACGCCUCCCACCACCGGCUCCCCGCACCUCUUCCGCAGCCACAGCGAGCGCCGCCCGGCGACGCCACCCGACGUGAAGUACAUCUCCCCCAAGCACCGGCNNNNNNNNNNNNNNNNNNNNGAUCAAGGUGGAGGGCGGCGGUGGAGGCAGCGACGGCGCGGGCAAGAAGCUCAGCAAGGGCUCCAAGCAGCCGACGGUUGCUGCCCCCUCUGCCAUGAAAGAUAAAGUACUGAUAGCUGAUGACUACUCAGAUCCAUUUGAUGCCAAAAGUGAGUUGAACAGAAUGGGAAAAGGGGAGAACACCGGCUAUAUGGAACCAUACGAAGCCCAGAGAAUAAUGGCUGCUCCUGUUUUGGGCCCUCAGGAAAGAUUAAUCAGUGGGGGAAGAUGAGGCUGUUGGAUGCAAAGAUCAUUUUUUCAUGCAAGUGUUCCUAUUUUUCUUUUCUUAAAGCAUUUCUGGAGAGACACAGGAAAUGACGUGGAAACAGGUCCUUGGAAGUUUUCAGUACCUUAUAGAAGGGCUGGGAGCUGUUACUUCUCAUUAGUGUAAAUCUAUUAAUUUUAAGUCAAGGAAUUUCACAGAAAAUCAUAUUAGUCCAAAUAAUUUCUUGCACUUUAUACAGCAGGGGUGAGCACUUGUAAUUUAAAUUAUUAAGCUUGUAGUGCAUUGGCUUGUUUCUUCCUGCAUUUAGGACUGGAGUUUGUUCUCUCUUCUUUUUCAGAUUAGUCGUAACAAAUGAGAUAUUUAGUAGGAUGAUACUGGAUGGCUUAUCUGCAGUAAGGGUCAGUAGGUUCAUGAGCCAUUGAAAUUACGAGACGUCCUUUUGCCUGAUUGGUACUUGGUGCAACUGAUGAGCUGUUAUAUCUGCUC
RNAcentral lists this long non-coding RNA (918 nucleotides) under Serinus canaria (Common canary). Its description in RNAcentral is "lncRNA (ENSSCAG00000012988.1)". The record is from RNAcentral. Lineage: Eukaryota; Metazoa; Chordata; Aves; Passeriformes; Fringillidae.